RNAcentral lists this ribosomal RNA (435 nucleotides) under uncultured bacterium. RNAcentral describes it as "bacterial SSU rRNA". It matches the Rfam family "Bacterial small subunit ribosomal RNA", at positions 340 to 786 of the family's 1533-position model. The record is from RNAcentral.
UACGGAAGGCAGCAGUGGGGAAUAUUGGACAAUGGGCGAAAGCCUGAUCCAGCCAUGCCGCAUGAGUGAAGAAGGCCUUCGGGUUGUAAAGCUCUUUUAGUGAGAAAGAUAAUGACGGUACUCACAGAAGAAGUCCUGGCUAACUCCGUGCCAGCAGCCGCGGUAAUACGGAGAGGGCUAGCGUUAUUCGGAAUUAUUGGGCGUAAAGAGCGCGUAGGCUGAUUUAGUAAGUUAAAAGUGAAAUCCCAAAGCUUAACUUUGGAAUUGCUUUUUAAAACUGCUAGUCUAGAGAUUUGAAAGAGGAUAGAGGAAUUCCUAGUGUAGAGGUGAAAUUCGUAAAUAUUAGGAGGAACACCAGUGGCGAAGGCGUCUAUCUGGUUCAAAUCUGACGCUGAGGCGCGAAGGGCGUGGGGAGCAAACGAGGGAUUAGAUACC